Molecule: ribosomal RNA, 356 nt
Filed under: uncultured Desulfobulbus sp.
Lineage: Bacteria; Pseudomonadati; Thermodesulfobacteriota; Desulfobulbia; Desulfobulbales; Desulfobulbaceae
Description: bacterial SSU rRNA
Rfam family: Bacterial small subunit ribosomal RNA
Source: RNAcentral
CUGGAGACAGGUGGCUGCAUGGCUGUCGUCAGCUCGUGUCGGUGAGAUGUUGGGUUAAGUCCCGCAACGAGCGCAACCCUUGCCUUUAGUUGCCAGCAGUUCGGCUGGGCACUCUAAAGGGACUGCCGGUGUUAAACCGGAGGAAGGUGGGGAUGACGUCAAGUCCUCAUGGCCUUUAUGACCAGAGCUACACACGUACUACAAUGGCCGAUACAAAGGGCAGCGACACUGCGAGGUGAAGCCAAUCCCGUAAAAUCGGUCUCAGUCCGGAUUGGAGUCUGCAACUCGACUCCAUGAAGUUGGAAUCGCUAGUAAUCGUGGAUCAGCAUGCCACGGUGAAUACGUUCCCGGGCCUU